CUCUGGAUGAACGCUGGCGGCGUGCGUAAUACAUGCAAGUCGAACGCACUAGUUUACUAGUGAGUGGCGAACGGGUGAGUAACACGUAGGUAACCUGCCCUUAAGACGAGGAUAACCAUUGGAAACGAUGGCUAAGACUGGAUAGGAAUAUUUGAGGCAUCUUAAAUAUUUUAAAAGACCUAGCAAUAGGUAUGCUUAAGGAGGGGCCUGCGGCGCAUUAGUUAGUUGGUGAGGUGAGAGCUCACCAAGACGAUGAUGCGUAGCCGGACUGAGAGGUUGAACGGCCACAUUGGGACUGAGAAACGGCCCAAACUCCUACGGGAGGCAGCAGUAGGGAAUUUUCGGCAAUGGAGGAAACUCUGACCGAGCAACGCCGCGUGAAUGACGAAGUACUUCGGUAUGUAAAGUUCUUUUAUCAGGGAAGAAUGGGCAGUGGAAAAACUGUUUUGACGGUACCUGAUGAAUAAGCCCCGGCUAACUAUGUGCCAGCAGCCGCGGUAAUACAUAGGGGGCAAGCGUUAUCCGGAAUUAUUGGGCGUAAAGGGUGCGUAGGCGGUUAUUUAAGUCUUUGGUGUAAGUGCAAGGCUCAACCUUGUGAUGCUAAGGAAACUGGAUAACUUGAGUGUGAUAGAGGUAAGUGGAAUUCCAUGUGUAGCGGUAAAAUGCGUAAAUAUAUGGAGGAACACCAGUGGCGAAGGCGGCUUACUGGGUCACAACUGACGCUGAGGCACGAAAGCGUGGGGAGCAAACAGGAUUAGAUACCCUGGUAGUCCACGCCGUAAACGAUGAGUACUAAGUGUUGGAGAAAUUCAGUGCUGUAGUUAACGCAAUAAGUACUCCGCCUGAGAG
RNAcentral lists this ribosomal RNA (849 nucleotides) under bacterium 060620-Aspo-KJ0052F01-A6-AM. Its description in RNAcentral is "bacterial SSU rRNA". It matches the Rfam family "Bacterial small subunit ribosomal RNA", at positions 23 to 879 of the family's 1533-position model. The record is from RNAcentral.